RNAcentral lists this transfer RNA (75 nucleotides) under Chloroflexota bacterium. RNAcentral describes it as "Chloroflexi bacterium tRNA-Arg". It matches the Rfam family "tRNA". Rfam says of the family: Transfer RNA (tRNA) molecules are approximately 80 nucleotides in length. Their secondary structure includes four short double-helical elements and three loops (D, anti-codon, and T loops). RNAcentral also lists the same sequence under 2 other names. The record is from RNAcentral. Lineage: Bacteria; Bacillati; Chloroflexota.
GCGCCCGUAGCUCAGCUUGGAUAGAGCGUCGGACUUCUAAUCCGGAUGUCGCAGGUUCGAGUCCUGCCGGGCGCG